CCGGACGUGGCGCAGCCUGGUAGCGCGCGAGUUUUGGGUACUUGAGGCCGCAGGUUCGAAUCCUGCCGUCCGGACCA
RNAcentral lists this transfer RNA (77 nucleotides) under Acetobacter persici. RNAcentral describes it as "tRNA-Pro". It matches the Rfam family "tRNA". Rfam says of the family: Transfer RNA (tRNA) molecules are approximately 80 nucleotides in length. Their secondary structure includes four short double-helical elements and three loops (D, anti-codon, and T loops). The record is from RNAcentral. Lineage: Bacteria; Pseudomonadati; Pseudomonadota; Alphaproteobacteria; Acetobacterales; Acetobacteraceae.